UCCCUUUCCUAACUACCAAACAAUCCAGUUUUGUUACUUUCUGCAACUGAGUAUAACAAAUUCAUGUUCACAAUCAAGUCUACCAGGCCUGAAUACAAUGAAAGAGUUUCAAAAACCAAGCAAACAAAGCUUGCCAGAGACAGUGUAAGUGUAACUAAACUAGUCCAAAGAUGUUACUGAGGAAAAGAAGAUGGAAACAAAGUAGAUAUCUCCUUGAGCAGAUCGCUCACUAC
This 233-nucleotide long non-coding RNA is filed under the name Elaeis guineensis (African oil palm). RNAcentral's name for it is "long non-coding RNA (EGUI_LNC028692)". Lineage: Eukaryota; Viridiplantae; Streptophyta; Magnoliopsida; Arecales; Arecaceae. The record is from RNAcentral.